This 326-nucleotide ribosomal RNA is filed under the name uncultured eukaryote. Its description in RNAcentral is "partial 18S ribosomal RNA". It matches the Rfam family "Eukaryotic small subunit ribosomal RNA", at positions 1470 to 1796 of the family's 1831-position model. The record is from RNAcentral.
CCCUUAGAUGUUCUGGGCUGCACGCGCGCUACACUGAUGCACUCAACGAGUUUACGACCUUGCCCGAUAGGGUUGGGUAAUCUUUUUAAAAUGCAUCGUGAUGGGGAUAGAUUAUUGCAAUUAUCAAUCUUCAACGAGGAAUUCCUAGUAAGCGCGAGUCAUCAGCUCGUGCUGAUUACGUCCCUGCCCUUUGUACACACCGCCCGUCGCUCCUACCGAUUGAGUGCUCAGGUGAAUAAUUCGGACUGCAGCAAUGUUUGGAUCCCGAACGUUGCAGCGGAAAGUUUAGUGAACCUUAUCACUUAGAGGAAGGAGAAGUCGUAACA